RNAcentral lists this ribosomal RNA (253 nucleotides) under uncultured bacterium. Its description in RNAcentral is "partial 16S ribosomal RNA". It matches the Rfam family "Bacterial small subunit ribosomal RNA", at positions 524 to 776 of the family's 1533-position model. The record is from RNAcentral.
UACGUAGGGGGCAAGCGUUGUCCGGAUUUAUUGGGCGUAAAGAGCGUGUAGGCGGCCAGACAGGUCCGUUGUGAAAACUCGAGGCUCAACCUCGAGAUGUCGAUGGAAACCGUCUGGCUAGAGUCCGGAAGAGGAGUGUGGAAUUCCUGGUGUAGCGGUGAAAUGCGCAGAUAUCGGGAGGAACACCAAUGGCGAAGGCAGCUCGCUGGGACGUUACUGACGCUAAGACGCGAAAGCGUGGGGAGCAAACAGG